Molecule: transfer RNA, 71 nt
Filed under: Endeis sp. JZ-2022
Lineage: Eukaryota; Metazoa; Arthropoda; Pycnogonida; Pantopoda; Endeidae
Description: tRNA-Gln
Source: RNAcentral
UAUACUUUAGUGUACUAAAAGCACAUUUAAUUUUGAUUUAAAUAGGUAUGAAUUUUAUUCAUUAAGUGUAA